This 73-nucleotide transfer RNA is filed under the name Trichonephila inaurata madagascariensis. It matches the Rfam family "tRNA". Rfam says of the family: Transfer RNA (tRNA) molecules are approximately 80 nucleotides in length. Their secondary structure includes four short double-helical elements and three loops (D, anti-codon, and T loops). The record is from Rfam by way of RNAcentral. Lineage: Eukaryota; Metazoa; Arthropoda; Arachnida; Araneae; Nephilidae.
GUCCCUGUAGCGCAAUGGAUAGCGUGUUGGACUUCUAAUCCAAAGGUCAUGGGUUCGAAUCCUACCUGGGAUG